Molecule: ribosomal RNA, 497 nt
Filed under: uncultured bacterium
Lineage: Bacteria
Description: partial 16S ribosomal RNA
Rfam family: Bacterial small subunit ribosomal RNA
Source: RNAcentral
GACGAACGCUGGCGGCGUGCUUAACACAUGCAAGUCGAGCGAACAGACGCGGAGCUUGUUGCUCUGACGUGAGCGGCGGACGGGUGAGUAACACGAGGAUAAUCUCCUUAUCAGUCUGGGAUAAUUUCGGGAAACCGGAGCUAAUACCGGAUAAUAUACUGAACCGCAUGGUUGAUUAGUGAGAGACGGUUUUGGUGUCAGUUAUAGAUGGAUCCGCGCCGGAUUAGCUAGUUGGUAAGGUAACGGCCUACCAAGGCAACGAUGCGUAGCCGACCUGAGAGGGUGAUAGGCCACACUAGAGCGGGGACGCGGACCAGACUCCUACGGGAGGCAGCAGUAGGGAAGCUUACGCAAUAGUCGGAAGACUGACGGAGCAGCGCCGCGUGAGUGGUGAAGGUCUUCGGAGCGUAAUACUCUGCUAUUGGGGAUGAACAAAUGUGGAAUUAAAUGUGCCCGUCUUGACGGUACCUGGUCAGAAAGCCACGGCUAACUACGUG